UACGUAGGGUGCAAGCGUUAUUCGGAAUUACUGGGCGUAAAGCGUGCGCAGGCGGUUAUUUAAGUCAGUUGUGAAAUCCCCGGGCUUAACCUGGGAACUGCAUCUGUGACUGCAUAGCUAGAGUACGGUAGAGGGGGAUGGAAUUCCGCGUGUAGCAGUGAAAUGCGUAGAUAUGCGGAGGAACACCGAUGGCGAAGGCAAUCCCCUGGACCUGUACUGACGCUCAUGCACGAAAGCGUGGGGAGCGAACAGG
Molecule: ribosomal RNA, 253 nt
Filed under: uncultured bacterium
Lineage: Bacteria
Description: partial 16S ribosomal RNA
Rfam family: Bacterial small subunit ribosomal RNA
Source: RNAcentral